RNAcentral lists this ribosomal RNA (483 nucleotides) under uncultured bacterium. Its description in RNAcentral is "partial 16S ribosomal RNA". It matches the Rfam family "Bacterial small subunit ribosomal RNA", at positions 30 to 507 of the family's 1533-position model. The record is from RNAcentral.
AUUGAACGCUGGCGGAAUGCUUUACACAUGCAAGUCGAACGGCAGCACGGGGGCAGCCCUGGUGGCGAGUGGCGAACGGGUGAGUAAUACAUCGGAACGUGCCCGGUCGUGGGGGAUAACGUAGCGAAAGUUACGCUAAUACCGCAUACGAUCUGAGGAUGAAAGCGGGGGACCUUCGGGCCUCGCGCGAUCGGAGCGGCCGAUGUCAGAUUAGGUAGUUGGUGGGGUAAAGGCCUACCAAGCCGGCGAUCUGUAGCUGGUCUGAGAGGACGACCAGCCACACUGGGACUGAGACACGGCCCAGACUCCUACGGGAGGCAGCAGUGGGAAUUUUGGACAAUGGGCGCAAGCCUGAUCCAGCCAUUCCGCGUGCAGGACGAAGGCCUUCGGGUUGUAAACUGCUUUUGUACGGAACGAAAAGGCUCUGGCUAAUACCUGGGGCUCAUGACGGUACCGUAAGAAUAAGCACCGGCUAACUACGUG